This 146-nucleotide transfer RNA is filed under the name Craterilacuibacter sinensis. RNAcentral's name for it is "Neisseriaceae bacterium B2N2-7 tRNA-OTHER". Lineage: Bacteria; Pseudomonadati; Pseudomonadota; Betaproteobacteria; Neisseriales; Neisseriaceae. The record is from RNAcentral.
GGAAUAAGGCUCAAACGGGUGGAAACGUCGGUGUUUUGUAGAAUGAAAAUCAUGUUAAGUUGUUGAUUAUUUUUGUUUUGCUUCAUAACUCGAAAUCAGUGGGCGGCGUAUGCCGCACUAGGGUUCGAAUCCCUAUCUCUCCGCCA